Molecule: unclassified non-coding RNA, 925 nt
Filed under: Rhodotorula toruloides
Lineage: Eukaryota; Fungi; Basidiomycota; Microbotryomycetes; Sporidiobolales; Sporidiobolaceae
Source: RNAcentral
GUCCCUAUAGCCCGCUCACCUUCGCUGGGCUCGCUGAACUGCUAGAUGCGCGGCGAUAGCUUGCUACAACGUCUUGGUGCAGCUAGUCACCGCUCGGGCGGUCUAUACUCCGGCCAAACCUCCCCCCUCUCUUCAGCGGACGGAGUAGCAGCACUGGACUAGCUGGCUGUUCACGGCGCAUUGCUCACAGCCCGGAACGGCGGCGUUGCCCUCCUUCCUCUCUCGCACCUCUCGAGGAGACACUUUUGAGGCUUCGCCGAGGCUCGCAGAAGGAAUGAAUCGACAUACAACACCACUGAAGGAACCCUGCAACCCUCAAACCCUCUGCUCUCCUGCGCACUCCCGCAACCUCAUCUCGCAUCUUGCCUCUCUCCUCCUCCCGCCUCCUCCUCUCGCCCCUCCUGCCCCAUCACGCACGACAGCGCCUCCGUUCCUCCACUCCGCACGCCUUCCACGCCGAACUCUCGCCGCCUCUUCGAGUGCCGACGAUGACCCGCUGAGCACUCUUCUUCGCGACUUGCUGGAGAUGGGCUGUUCGGAGGGUUCCGCCUGUGCUGGGCGCUAGGAGGUCUGCCGCAUCGUCGUCAGGCUAUUAGCGACGUUGCGAAACUCUGGCUGGCGCGGAAACGGUCGCACCCGCUGUGGAAGGCGCCGACCCCUCAUCCCUCGCGACCGCUCGUACUCCCUCCCGCCCUCGCGCGCCUCCCGCCGCUCGACUCAACCCCGACGGCGAACUAGGCGGACUGAGGUGGAACUCGAGCGCAUCGGGAGUUGGCAAGACGGGGAGAGUGAAGGAUGUCGAGGAGGAGGAGGGGAGGAAGGAGGAGAGGAGGUGGCGUAGGCCUGUGAGGGGCGUGGUGGACAUGGCGAGUGUGGAUGUAGUAGAGAGGCGAGCAGGAGCCGGGCCCAGGGGAAGGACUCGUUG